UGCUAGAUGAUGAGCUUAAGGGCAACAA
Molecule: non-coding RNA, 28 nt
Filed under: Homo sapiens (human)
Lineage: Eukaryota; Metazoa; Chordata; Mammalia; Primates; Hominidae
Source: RNAcentral